This 363-nucleotide ribosomal RNA is filed under the name uncultured bacterium. RNAcentral's name for it is "bacterial SSU rRNA". It matches the Rfam family "Bacterial small subunit ribosomal RNA", at positions 30 to 392 of the family's 1533-position model. The record is from RNAcentral.
AUUGAACGCUGGCGGCAUGCCUUACACAUGCAAGUCGAACGGCAGCACGGGAGCAAUCCUGGUGGCGAGUGGCGAACGGGUGAGUAAUAUAUCGGAACGUGCCCAGUCGUGGGGAUAACGUAGCGAAAGCUACGCUAAUACCGCAUACGAUCUAUGGAUGAAAGCGGGGGAUCGCAAGACCUCGCGCGAUUGGAGCGGCCGAUAUCAGAUUAGGUAGUUGGUGAGGUAAAGGCUCACCCAAGCCGACGAUCUGUAGCUGGUCUGAGAGGACGACCAGCCACACUGGGACUGAGACACGGCCCAGACUCCUACGGGAGGCAGCAGUGGGGAAUUUUUGGAUAAUGGGCGCAAGCCUGAUCCAGC